UCGACGAUGAACUCACUUUACACCUUGAACAAAGAUCUGCCUUCGACGACAACCUACUCGUCAGAACAGCGGGAGAAGAUAAUACCUUCAUCGAAAAGUUUGUGGAUGCGUCAGAGUUCAACAGCAAGCUUUUCCAAGAUCCACAGCGCAUGGCUUCUGCAGUAGUGUCUGAAGAAGACGGACUGCGUGUGAAUGGCAUCAUCGGAGAAGACAUGCUCAUCCGCCCUCUGUUGGCGAUGGAACGAACUGCAGAAGGCCAUGUUCCGCAUCUUCUCUACCGGGAGGAAUCCUUGAAGGGUGGAGCU
Molecule: long non-coding RNA, 305 nt
Organism: Ornithodoros turicata
Lineage: Eukaryota; Metazoa; Arthropoda; Arachnida; Ixodida; Argasidae
Exons: 3
Source: RefSeq, a predicted model, not a curated record